This 482-nucleotide ribosomal RNA is filed under the name uncultured bacterium. Its description in RNAcentral is "partial 16S ribosomal RNA". It matches the Rfam family "Bacterial small subunit ribosomal RNA", at positions 28 to 523 of the family's 1533-position model. The record is from RNAcentral.
GACGAACGCUGGCGGCGUGCUUAACACAUGCAAGUCGAACGGAAAGGCCCUGCUUGCAGGGUACUCGAGUGGCGAACGGGUGAGUAACACGUGGGUGAUCUGCCCUGCACUUCGGGAUAAGCUUGGGAAACUGGGUCUAAUACCGGAUAGGAACCAUCUUUAGUGUGGUGGUUGGAAAGUUUUUUCGGUGUAGGAUGAGCUCGCGGCCUAUCAGCUUGUUGGUGGGGUAAUGGCCUACCAAGGCGGCGACGGGUAGCCGGCCUGAGAGGGUGUACGGCCACAUUGGGACUGAGAUACGGCCCAGACUCCUACGGGAGGCAGCAGUGGGGAAUAUUGCACAAUGGGCGCAAGCCUGAUGCAGCGACGCCGCGUGGGGGGUGAAGGCCUUCGGGUUGUAAACUCCUUUCGCUAGGGACGAAGCUUUGUUGUGACGGUACCUAGAUAAGAAGCACCGGCUAACUACGUGCCAGCAGCCGCAGUAA